CAAGUCGAGGGGCAGCAUGGUCUUAGCUUGCUAAGGCCGAUGGCGACCGGCGCACGGGUGAGUAACACGUAUCCAACCUGCCGAUGACUCGGGGAUAGCCUUUCGAAAGAAAGAUUAAUACCCGAUGGCAUAGUUUUCCCGCAUGGGAUAAUUAUUAAAGAAUUUCGGUUGUCGAUGGGGAUGCGUUCCAUUAGUUUGUUGGCGGGGUAACGGCCCACCAAGACAACGAUGGAUAGGGGUUCUGAGAGGAAGGUCCCCACAUUGGAACUGAGACACGGUCCAAACUCC
Molecule: ribosomal RNA, 288 nt
Filed under: uncultured Bacteroides sp.
Lineage: Bacteria; Pseudomonadati; Bacteroidota; Bacteroidia; Bacteroidales; Bacteroidaceae
Description: partial 16S ribosomal RNA
Rfam family: Bacterial small subunit ribosomal RNA
Source: RNAcentral